UAUAAUUUCUGUGUAUUAAAGUACACAACUUUCUGUUAAAUUGUAAAAUUAAUUGGAUUUAGGGGUUUAUAUCAUCAUAACUCAACCUGAUUGUAUUGAAAAUAUGUCUCAUCCAUCUCUUUAAAGUAUAAUCAUGAUAAAUAUGUAAAUCUUAUGAAAUGUUACGGAAGGAAGUAGGGAAAAAAAAGACGAGGCCUAUCAUGUAAUUAAUGACUUCUUGAUGUCUGGCAUCAAACUUCUGUUUAUUUAUGUAAAACAAUACAUUUUAUCAUCUGAUGUACUCUUAAUUACUCUUCAAAGUAAUGUCAGCAUUUAAAUUCUUCAUUGAUUUUUAAUUUACAUUUAUAUGUAUCAUUUUGUAAAUAUUGACCA
RNAcentral lists this long non-coding RNA (372 nucleotides) under Mytilus galloprovincialis (Mediterranean mussel). The record is from RNAcentral. Lineage: Eukaryota; Metazoa; Mollusca; Bivalvia; Mytilida; Mytilidae.